UACGUAGGUGACAAGCGUUGUCUGGAUUUACUGGGCGUAAAGAGCGCGCAGGCGGUCGUUCAAGUCGAGUGUGAAAGCCCCCGGCUCAACUGGGGAGGGUCAUUCGAUACUGAUCGACUCGAAGGCAGGAGAGGGAAGUGGAAUUCCCGGUGUAGUGGUGAAAUGCGUAGAUAUCGGGAGGAACACCAGUGGCGAAGGCGACUUCCUGGCCUGUUCUUGACGCUGAGGCGCGAAAGCUAGGGGAGCAAACGGG
This 253-nucleotide ribosomal RNA is filed under the name uncultured bacterium. Its description in RNAcentral is "partial 16S ribosomal RNA". It matches the Rfam family "Bacterial small subunit ribosomal RNA", at positions 524 to 776 of the family's 1533-position model. The record is from RNAcentral.